Long non-coding RNA from Passer domesticus (house sparrow), 1053 nucleotides. RefSeq lists it as uncharacterized. Lineage: Eukaryota; Metazoa; Chordata; Aves; Passeriformes; Passeridae. The record is from RefSeq and is a predicted model, not a curated record. The transcript is spliced from 2 exons.
CUGCUGGGCAGGGUUAAUGGCAGCCCUGCUUCUGUUGGACCUUACUCUCAUAUUGUUCUGUGUCAGAAUCUGGUGUAACUGGAAGAAGAAAUGGAGCACCUCUGGACAGGAGUUUAAAGACGGUGGCUGCACCUCACUCCCAGACAGUUUGAGCUGCUCCUCUGGCCGUCAUAAGGGCCUGGACAGCCCUCUCACCUGUUCUGUGAAGGGAACCCAAGAACAGCCAUCUACAAGGAAACCUCCUACUACCCUGUAGAUCCCACUGCCACCUGCUCUCCCCAUGGGUCUCCCCAAGAUGACUUCAUCCCUUUUUUGAUCUCCCUGCAUCCCAUCCCAGCCAAUUCUCAAGUUCUUCUGGAGACCCCAGGCCCAGCUGAGCACACUCCAGUCCCUCCUGAGACCAACACAUCCCUUCCUCUGCCCCUCAGCUCCCUGGCCUUGCCCUCUAAACAACACUGGAGUUAAGCCCUGCUGCCCCGCCAGGGUAGGCGAUGGCCCCUUCUUCUCUUGCACUACAGAGAUGGAGCUGUCACCCCAGUGUCUGGAGGUAGCAGCAGCAAAGCCCACCCGGCAGCAGCACUGGCUGAGCUCCGUGCCCAGGGGCAGCUGGGAAUGGCCAUGGUGUGGGCAGGCAGGAGCCAGGCAGGGGCUGCUGUGCCCAGCGGCGGGGCCCCGAGGGGAUGGGGGAGCCCGGGGGCAGGCAGCAGCAUGGGGCUCCUGAGAACAAGUGACACUAUUUUUCUUUGUUUUUCAUUUUUAGAAAUUUGACUUUUGAAAAAAUAUUUUAAAAUUUAUUUACUGUAGAGAGACAUCCCUAAAUAUUUAUUCCCGAGUAGUGUAGUAGUUAAGGACUUUACAAAAUAGUAUUAAAAUCCUGAAAAGGCAAACCUAUUUUUUCUUCACUUUUAAUUUUUAGAAAUAUUUAGAAAUAUUUUUUGUAGAGACAUAUCACCAAAAUAUUCAUCCCUUUUUCCAGAAUACAUUUGUAUUUUUAAAGUAGUUUUACAGUUCUGGAAAGUUUUUUACACUUAUACAAUAAAAAAUAAAAUGGCA